Molecule: ribosomal RNA, 800 nt
Filed under: Microbacterium sp. JSM 2185013
Lineage: Bacteria; Bacillati; Actinomycetota; Actinomycetes; Micrococcales; Microbacteriaceae
Description: bacterial SSU rRNA
Rfam family: Bacterial small subunit ribosomal RNA
Source: RNAcentral
GGAUUUGGCGGGGUCUUACCAUGACAGUCGAACGGUGAAGCCCAGCUUGCUGGGUGGAUCAGUGGCGAACGGGUGAGUAACACGUGAGCAACCUGCCCCUGACUCUGGGAUAAGCGCUGGAAACGGCGUCUAAUACUGGAUACGAGUAGCGACCGCAUGGUCAGUUACUGGAAAGAUUUAUUGGUUGGGGAUGGGCUCGCGGCCUAUCAGCUUGUUGGUGAGGUAAUGGCUCACCAAGGCGUCGACGGGUAGCCGGCCUGAGAGGGUGACCGGCCACACUGGGACUGAGACACGGCCCAGACUCCUACGGGAGGCAGCAGUGGGGAAUAUUGCACAAUGGGCGCAAGCCUGAUGCAGCAACGCCGCGUGAGGGAUGACGGCCUUCGGGUUGUAAACCUCUUUUAGCAGGGAAGAAGCGAAAGUGACGGUACCUGCAGAAAAAGCGCCGGCUAACUACGUGCCAGCAGCCGCGGUAAUACGUAGGGCGCAAGCGUUAUCCGGAAUUAUUGGGCGUAAAGAGCUCGUAGGCGGUUUGUCGCGUCUGCUGUGAAAUCCGGAGGCUCAACCUCCGGCCUGCAGUGGGUACGGGCAGACUAGAGUGCGGUAGGGGGAGAUUGGAAUUCCUGGUGUAGCGGUGGAAUGCGCAGAUAUCAGGAGGAACACCGAUGGCGAAGGCAGAUCUCUGGGCCGUAACUGACGCUGAGGAGCGAAAGGGUGGGGAGCAAACAGGCUUAGAUACCCUGGUAGUCCACCCCGUAAACGUUGGGAACUAGUUGUGGGGUCCAUUCCACGGAUUCCGU